This 392-nucleotide ribosomal RNA is filed under the name uncultured bacterium. Its description in RNAcentral is "partial 16S ribosomal RNA". It matches the Rfam family "Bacterial small subunit ribosomal RNA", at positions 523 to 918 of the family's 1533-position model. The record is from RNAcentral.
AUACGGAGGAUCCGAGCGUUAUCCGGAUUUAUUGGGUUUAAAGGGUGCGCAGGCGGCCAUUUAAGUCAGCGGUUAAAUCGUGGGGCUCAACCCCAUUCUGCCGUUGAUACUGGGUGGCUUGAUUGCGGUCGAGGUUGGCGGAAUUCGUUGUGUUGCGGUGUAAUGCAUAGAUAUGACGAAGAACACCGAUUGCGUAGGCAGCUGACCAGAUCGCAAAUGACGCUCAUGCACGAAAGUGCGGGGAUCGAACAGGAUUAGAUACCCUGGUAGUCCGCACAGUAAACGAUGAAUACUUGUUUUCGGCGAUAUAAUGUCGGAGGCAAAGCGAAAGCGAUAAGUAUUCCACCUGGGGAGUACGCCGGCAACGGUGAAACUCAAAUGAAUUGACGGGG